GACGAACGCUGGCGGCGUGCCUAAUACAUGCAAGUAGAACGCUGAAGAGAGGAGCUUCCUCUUCUUGGAUGAGUUGCGAACGGGUGAGUAGCGCGUAGGUAACCUGCCUUGUAGCGGGGGAUAACUAUUGGAAACGAUAGCUAAUACCGCAUAACAAUGGAUGACACAUGUCAUUUAUUUGAAAGGGGCAAUUGCUCCACUACAAGAUGGACCUGCGUUGUAUUAGCUAGUAGGUGAGGUAAUGGCUCACCUAGGCGACGAUACAUAGCCGACCUGAGAGGGUGAUCGGCCACACUGGGACUGAGACACGGCCCAGACUCCUACGGGAGGCAGCAGUAGGGAAUCUUCGGCAAUGGGGGCAACCCUGACCGAGCAACGCCGCGUGAGUGAAGAAGGGUUUCGGAUCGGAAAGCUCUGCUGUAAGUCAAGAACGGGUGUGAGAGUGGAAAGUUCACACUGUGACGGUAGCUUACCAGAAAGGGACGGCUAACUACGUG
This 497-nucleotide ribosomal RNA is filed under the name uncultured bacterium. RNAcentral's name for it is "partial 16S ribosomal RNA". It matches the Rfam family "Bacterial small subunit ribosomal RNA", at positions 28 to 507 of the family's 1533-position model. The record is from RNAcentral.